This 1462-nucleotide unclassified non-coding RNA is filed under the name Melitaea cinxia (Glanville fritillary). RNAcentral describes it as "misc RNA ENSMCXG00005016006.1". Lineage: Eukaryota; Metazoa; Arthropoda; Insecta; Lepidoptera; Nymphalidae. The record is from RNAcentral.
UUAUUAUUUGCUUAGUUAAUCAUGGUUUUUUUAAAUAAAUUAAUCUUUAUUGAACUUUUAAGAAAUUGUUGAAAUUAAAGUUAAUUACAAGAUUUGCAAGUAAUUACAUUCUCAAAAUUUAUUCAUUCACUUUCAGAAUAACGUAUUGAGGGAAAAUGGGUAAAAGCUUUAUCACAACAAUUGACUCCAAAUCAGUUUGUGUGUGAGAAGCACUUUCGCGAAGAAGAUAUUAAGAAAGCUGAUCGAUUGAUUAUUAAUGGAGCUGAAAUUAUCAUCCCUCGCGAAAGGUGGACUCUUUUGAAUGACAAUGUCAUUCCAAUAAACCCUCAGGAUUUGGAAAAGGACAUUUCUGAAGAGUUGUUUUUUUUGUUACAGCAAGUUCCAAUAGUGCAAAAUGACAUUAAUAACUGACCAAUCAAAAACCUGGAUUAUACACAACCCUCGUUAAAUAUUGUUUGAGGUAACAAUUUAAAAGAAGAUUCUCAAUCAGCAGGACCCCAUCAUAUGGAAUCACCAGAGAUUGUAACAGCUAAUAAUGUAAAAGAAUUAGAUAUUAUUAUGUUUAUCAUAUUGUUAUAGAUUUGCGAGAUUUUAAUAUUUUUUUGUACAUAAAUUUCAACAUUAGGUCAUUAUCUCGAACAUGUCUCCACCAUCAUGUGUUACACUAGAAGAGAUCCAUGCUCAUUUUCACUCAAUACUGAUCCAAGGAUGGUGUUAUUUUGCUUGUGAUGAAGAGUUAAUAUUAUAUAAGAUAUGAAUUUUACUAUUUCCAAUAAUCUUUCAGUGAAGGUAAAUAAUUUUCUCAUGCUUUUUUAAAUAAUUUUAUCUAUUCAUAAUGCAUACAGAGCAUUUUAUAAAAUUUAUUAAGUUUUGCUCACAUAAUCAUUUCUGAUACAACAGGUUUCUUUCUCUCAACAACCAGAAAUUGUUAUUGAUACUACAUCAUCUAUAGAAGAUAUAAAAAUGUAUAUGGAAACUCUGCAAGCCACUAUUUUAUGUAAAGGAACUGACAUACACUAUAGGUACGAUAUAUUUUCUUUCAUUUCUUUUAAUAUAAAUAAAAAUCUCAUACUAUUACACAUUAGGUGAAAAUUGAAAAUAAACUUAAAGAUUCACCUAAAUCAAGGCUCCAUCUAGAACUGUGACACCUGAAGUAAAAACAAGCAUCAAGUACAUCUUUUAGUAGUAGUGUGAAAAGAAAGAAAGUAUCUACAUUACCUUUGAAAAAUUCCAAAUCAUCUUGUAAGUCAAUAGAUAUGUUUUUUAGGUAGGAGAUUUUUUUGUAAUUAUCUAACUGUAUGCAAAUGAACUUGUAAAUAAUGUAAAUACAUUUAUAAAGCAAUUUUAUGAAAUAAAAAAAUAUGAUAUUUUAAUUGUUUUUUAUUUAUUUUACUACUAUGUCGUUAAAUAUAGCAAAUUUUGAUCUUUCAUUUCUACUAACUAUCACUCAAUAUUGAUACUA